Molecule: ribosomal RNA, 253 nt
Filed under: uncultured bacterium
Lineage: Bacteria
Description: partial 16S ribosomal RNA
Rfam family: Bacterial small subunit ribosomal RNA
Source: RNAcentral
UACGUAGGGGGCAAGCGUUGUCCGGAAUCAUUGGGCGUAAAGCGCGUGUAGGCGGCCCGAUAAGUCCGCUGUGAAAGUCCAGGGCUCAACCCUGGGAUGCCGGUGGAUACUGUCGGGCUCGAGUCCGGAAGAGGCGAGUGGAAUUCCUGGUGUAGCGGUGAAAUGCGCAGAUAUCAGGAGGAACACCGGUGGCGAAGGCGGGUCUCUGGGCCGAUACUGACGCUGAGGAGCGAAAGCUAGGGGAGCGAACGGG